AGCAGCCGCGGUAAUUCCAGCUCCAAUAGCGUAUAUUAAAGUUGUUGCAGUUAAAAAAGCUCGUAGUUGAAUUUCGGGAUCAAUAUGUCUGUCGUGCCUUCGGUACGUACGGGUAUAAUUGGUUUCUACCUUCUGAUGAACCUUGAUGCCAUUAAUUUGGUGUCUUGGGGACUCAGGACUGUUACCUUGAAAAAAUUAGAGUGUUUAAAGCAGGCAUACGCUUGAAUACAUUAGCAUGGAAUAAUGAAAUAGGACGUUCGAUUCUAUUUUGUUGGUUUCUAGGAUCGACGUAAUGAUUAAUAGGGAUAGUUGGGGGCAUUAGUAUUCAAUUGUCAGAGGUGAAAUUCUUGGAUUUAUUGAAGACUAACUACUGCGAAAGCAUUUGCCAAGGAUGUUUUCAUUAAUCAAGAACGAAAGUUAGGGGAAUCGAAGACGAUCAGAUACCAUCGUAGUCUUAACCAUAAACUAAUGCCGACUAGGGAUCGGAUGAUGUUAAUUUUUAAUGACUCAUUUUGGCGUC
RNAcentral lists this ribosomal RNA (520 nucleotides) under uncultured Glomus. Its description in RNAcentral is "SSU rRNA". It matches the Rfam family "Eukaryotic small subunit ribosomal RNA", at positions 569 to 1087 of the family's 1831-position model. Lineage: Eukaryota; Fungi; Glomeromycota; Glomeromycetes; Glomerales; Glomeraceae. The record is from RNAcentral.